UACGGAGGGGGCUAGCGUUGUUCGGAUUUACUGGGCGUAAAGGGCGCGUAGGCGGCGCAACAAGCCACUUGUGAAAUCUCCGGGCUUAACCCGGAGCGGUCAAGUGGUACUGUCGUGCUAGAGUGCGGAAGGGGCUACUGGAAUUCUCGGUGUAGCGGUGAAAUGCGUAGAUAUCGAGAGGAACACCAGUGGCGAAGGCGAUCACCUGGGGUUGUUCUGACGCUGAGGAGCGAAAGCUAGGGGAGCAAACGGG
RNAcentral lists this ribosomal RNA (253 nucleotides) under uncultured bacterium. RNAcentral describes it as "partial 16S ribosomal RNA". It matches the Rfam family "Bacterial small subunit ribosomal RNA", at positions 524 to 776 of the family's 1533-position model. The record is from RNAcentral.